GUGGGGAAUAUUGGGCAAUGGGCGCAAGCCUGACCCAGCAACGCCGCGUGAAGGAAGAAGGCUUUCGGGUUGUAAACUUCUUUUACCAGGGACGAAACAAAUGACGGUACCUGGUGAAUAAGCCACGGCUAACUACGUGCCAGCAGCCGCGGUAAUACGUAGGUGGCGAGCGUUAUCCGGAUUUAUUGGGUGUAAAGGGCGUGUAGGCGGGACAGCAAGUCAGAUGUGAAAACCAGAGGCUCAACCUCUGGCCUGCAUUUGAAACUGUUGUUCUUGAGUGUCGGAGAGGUAAUCGGAAUUCCGUGUGUAGCGGUGAAAUGCGUAGAUAUACGGAGGAACACCAGUGGCGAAGGCGGAUUACUGGACGAUAACUGACGCUGAGGCGCGAAAGCGUGGGGAGCAAACAGGAUUAGAUACCCUUGUAGUCC
This 428-nucleotide ribosomal RNA is filed under the name uncultured bacterium. Its description in RNAcentral is "partial 16S ribosomal RNA". It matches the Rfam family "Bacterial small subunit ribosomal RNA", at positions 354 to 796 of the family's 1533-position model. The record is from RNAcentral.